This 3130-nucleotide long non-coding RNA is filed under the name Drosophila guanche. Lineage: Eukaryota; Metazoa; Arthropoda; Insecta; Diptera; Drosophilidae. The record is from RNAcentral.
GAACAAUCGAAUAGGUAGAGUGCAAGCAGUUUUUGGAGCAGUUGAUCAAAAUAUGUAUGUAAUGUAAUGCAAAGAUGCUGUAGUGUUGAUUAACGGUGGACCCUGCGCUGGAGGACGGCGGCGACUGCGACUGCGACUGCAAGAAGAUCAAGAGGCGCGUGUGACCAGCGCAGCCAAAACGAAGCUUAGUUUGUAAGUGUCAGAGGAGUACGGGUACGGGUACGGGUACGACCAGUGUUGUAAAAAGCGGAUGGAGUUUUGUAAUUUAUAUUGUAUUUUUGAGCGCCAAAAAGUUCCUUGUUACAUUUUUUAGUUUUAGCGUUUCACACACAACUCACACACAAAAAACGGAAACGGAGACGGAAAUCGAAACAAAAACUAAAACAUAAACAACAACAAAAACCAAAACCAAAACCAAAAAGAAAAUCUUUUAAAAUUGCAUUUUAAAUUCAAAUCUGACUGUAUGUGUUCAAUGUGUGCGUGACUGUAUCGGUGUGAUAGCUUUGUCUGUGUGCUUGUGAGAGUGCAUGUGUGUGCAUGUAUUUGUGAGCGAAAAUCAAUUUUAAUUGUUUAUUUAUUUGUGCAUAUUUUUCACAUUAUUUUUAGCAAAAGCGCAGAUACACGUCGCAUGGGUAAAACGAUGCUGCAUAAAAGUCAAAGAAAAAAAAAGCAAACUAUUUUUAGCAUAAAUAAGUAAACUAAAUACGAUAAACUCUACAUUUAAAUUAGUCAAUAAGUCGUACGUAGUUGUAGCAAAUAAAUAUUUCGAUAAGUGAACUCCAUGAAAAACCUAACAUUAAAGAGCAUAAAAUAACAAAAAAAGAAACGAAUGCCGGACAGUGGGCCGCAGGGCAAACUCGGUACGUAGAAGCGCGAAAUUCUGAACUAAAUUUAGUUGGAUGUUGUUCGAAACGUCGAGACACACCCACACACACACACACACAUUUUUACGAGUACUAUCGAGACACCACACAACAUACACUCCCAACACACACACGAAUAUUUAUAUUAUUAUAUAUCGAGCUCUAUUAUACACACAAAAUUAUAUCUAGGUAUAUAUAUAUAUAGAGUAGGUAUUUAUAGGAUUGCAGCUAGUAAAAUCACAUACUACCAACCAACUACUCGUGCUAAAUGGAAAACAACAAAUUAAAUUAAAAACACACACACACAAUUUCACAGACAGACGGAACAACAAUAAUACGAAUAAAAGUUAUAAUAACUCUAAAAAAACCCAUUUCAUUGGUGCAUUUUGAGCACUUUGUUUGUAACAUUUGAAGCAAUUUGUUCAAUUAAAUUAUUGAGAAUUAUUCGCAGUCCAGUCGGUUCAUUUUGAUGAAUGUUUAUGAGUGUUUCCCAUUCAAUUUAAAUCUUUUUAUAUACCUACUCUUGCCUGUGAAGCGCCGCCUCAUUAUGCAUUCAGCGUGGCAUUCCAAAAACCUUUGGCAAGUUCAGUUUAAAAUAAAACUUUUUAAUUACUUUCACCGGGUUCUGGGAACACCGUCAAUUUAAAUGCCGAAGCCACAAGCUUGGCCCCCAAAUAUUUCUGCAUUUUUAAUUGAUUUUGCAAAAGUUGUUCGCCACUAGAGCAACAAGAACAGUAAAAAUUAACCAAAAUGCUGCGAAUGGGCAUGGCCUGCUGCCAGCUGUGUGGCACUGGCAGCAAUACCGCGAGGCAUGCAACAAAUUAAGUACGGAAUGCAAUUUGCGUUUGUAUAAGGUUGUGGGUGUGCGCUUGUGUGUGUUUUUGCAGUUAAUAAAAAGCGAAAAGUAAACGAAAAUGAAAACACACAAUCUGAGGAGAAAAUACAGAGAAAAGUUGGCAAAGCCACCAUAAAUGAAAAGUGCAGAAAACUAUUAGCCAAGAAUGCCGCGACAACGACAACGGCAACGGCAACGGCAACGGCAACGGCAACUCAGGCUCGUCGACCGACUGGCAGGAGGCAGGGACGAAGUGUGCUGGCAAAAGUUUAAUUAAAAUUCCUAAUCGAAAAUAUUCAGCAUUUGUGAAUGGGAACUAAUUAAAAUAGUUCUCCCAGCAAAGCGAUUGUGCCACUCCAACGAGAAGAGAGAGAAAGUGCAACAGUGGGGAGAUAAAGAAUAUUUUAUAUACGACCACGAAUGUUCGUACUUGUAUGCAGGAAUUCUCUUAACCCAAUCUAAAAGUCACUGAAAUGCUGCAACUUUUAAAUGUAAGACCGCAAACUAUUCAAAUUAUAUGAACAGAGUCGCUCCAUGCCCAAAAACAACACACAACAAAUAAUACAAAUAGAGAAAAAGAAGAGGAGUCGUGGCUAAAAACGAAGAAACCAAUUUAAAUCGAGAAAUGCCAAGUUUGGGUGUAUUAAAUGUAAAGUGCAUAAAAAUCAACAGUUAACAUUUUUUAAAUACUUAGCUAUUAAAAUAAACGUAAUAUAAAUGUAACGAGAUAAACAACAAAUAUCAUAAAUGAAGUAAUUAAAUGCAAAAAUUUAAAAUUUAAACGGUGGAUAACUAAGAGAAAACUGCAACAACAACACACACACAAAACACUUUUAAAUCAACACAAAAAAAGAAAGAAAAAGAAAACAUCAGCUCCACACACACACACACGGCAUUAUAAUUGUGCAUCAAAUAUUAAAAGUAUUAAACUGAGCUUAUAAAAUUUAAACAAAACCAUAAAAGAGAAAAAACUAUGCAAAUGCCAACGCAAAUUGGACACAGGAAAAAAAGAGGGGGGGAGGAAAAAAACAGUUUGACACAAGUCUCGACAUCCGUAUAAUAAAAAAAAAGUCUGAAAAAAAUAUAUAGAAAACAGAAACACCACACACGACGACACCUACGAUGUAUACAUAAAUACAUGCAUAGAAUAUACAUAUGUAUAGGCAAAACUGAAUAACCACUAAAUAAAAAGCAUCAGCAGCAGCACGAACAUUAAAAUGAAAUAAAUAAAGCAACUAAUUGCUGGCAGAUGAAAGCAAUUGGGAAUAAAUGGAUGAAACGAAGAAAAUCCAUCAAAAAAUAGCACUCAACCCAUCCCAACAUUUAGGCAAAAUGGAGAGGCACUCGUACUUUUUUGUUUUUCUUAAAUCACUAAAUAAAAAGAGAUCUUUUUAGUGUGUGUGCUUGUAAAUACAAAAAUAUUGAUGUAGUG